Long non-coding RNA from Myotis myotis, 2010 nucleotides. RefSeq lists it as uncharacterized. The transcript has 3 exons. Lineage: Eukaryota; Metazoa; Chordata; Mammalia; Chiroptera; Vespertilionidae. The record is from RefSeq and is a predicted model, not a curated record.
AAGCUGGUGCCGGGGGCCUGGUGGUGACUGCCCUCCGGGGCCACGGCGCUGCUCCCAGCGGCCUGGCCUGCAAGGAACAAACUGAGAAAUGGAAACCUAGAUGCAGAGACAGAGGCAUGAAGAAAGGGACCCCCCACACACACCCUCCCCCUCCCCAGAGGGAAAUUCACAUUCUUCAAAACCUUGGAAAUAAGUGACUUUCCCCGUGCUUUUUAAAAACCUGCCUACUGGGUAUCCUUAAGUAAACUUACUGAAGGACUGCAAAUAUCUAGAGGAGUCCCCGAGUAAUAGAGAAAUCCAGGAAACAGCUCCCUGAAAGGGGGGGGGGGGGGGGUGUAACUGUCCCCAAGGGGAGAAGUGUUAGGAGGCUUCCUGAUCACCAUGGCGACUCAGCAGGUAAGUCACAUCCAUUUAGAGGACGGGGUCCCCCUCACUUCCCCCCAGAGCCCGAGGGCCCGCACCUUCCCAGCCUGGAAGCGAGGUGCCCGGGAAGGGCAGACGCCUCUCCCGAGCUGAGUGCCCGAGCGGGUCCAACUUCAGACCCGACCUCCCCUGCACCCGGUCGAGCAGCGCGGGGGAACGAGGAAGGGCGGGCAUCCCGAGCGGAAUCUCCGUGAUUUGCCCGAGGAGACAGCACAGACCAGACCCCAGGAGCGCCAGCCUUUCCGUGCAGCUGCCACGACAGUGGAUCCUGAGAGCCAAAAAAGCAGUGCCCGUUUAGCCUUCAUCACAGGAAGAAGCAUGCAGAAUGAGGAGGAAAUGUCCGAGGCGCACGUACCCAGCACAGCCAGCUACCGCCACUGCUCUCCCAGCUCUGACACUACCACAGUCCCAGUUUAAGGACAUUGAUACGCUGGAGCACAACCUAGGAAGGCUGACCAGGAGGCCACCACGUGGAAGAACCACAACUGAAGAACAGACAUGGCCACAAGGCCUGGGUUGUCAUCCAGACCACCACUUGCUGACGAUGUGUUUGGGUACAUUACUCCAUCUCUCCAGCCUUCAUUCCUCAGCCUGUAAAAUGGGGAGGGAUGUUGGUCCCUGAUCCUUUACAACUCUAAGGUUCUAUAGCUUUUUCAAUGAAAUUGUUGUGGAGAGGAAGACAUAAGGCUUCCCUAUCGAUUGGAAUAUUUACACCAACCUACCACAAGGAAUAUUUCAUUAUACUAAGCCAUGUGAACAUGAAGAACAAGGUUAACUUGCUGAAGCAAUUUUAGGUUGGUUUUCCUCUUACUAGCUGAAAAAUCGACCCAGAUGUUUACCAAUAGGAUUGAUGGAUACAAAUAUCAAGUCAUACCUAUAUACUUAAGCAUUAAGCGAAAAAGAAAAUGACUUAUUAGAUACUCAAUAAUGUUUGUUGAGGAAGGUAGAGGAAGAGACUCUCUGAAAGAUUUAAGUAUUUAAGUACUAUUUAAGAAUCAGACUAUAGAUGAAAUAAGUCCCAGCAACAAUUUGCGUACAUUGAAGUAGACUUACUCAAAAUAAUGUGCUUUUGGGAUAUUGUAGCAGAGAUGGGUAACUUUGACCUUAGGAGAAAAAUGAUUAAGUCUACAGUUUACUAUUAUAUCCCCAUCUCUAGUGCCCAGAACAGGGGCACAUAGUGAUUAAAUGUGUGAUGGCUAAUUGAAUGAAUGAAUAAAUAACAAAUCUGGAUGGAUGAUGGAUGGAUGAAUCAUUUAACCAUGAAUGAAUAAAUCAAGCAUUCAUGUGAAAGCUAUAAUAGUUUGGAAAAAAAUAACACUAAACAUUUGUGGAAAAGGUUCACAUGUUAACUAGUAUUUGUUUCUGGAUAUUUAAAGUAAAAGGAUAACUGGAGGUAUUCAAGAAUAAACAGAUUGGGCAGCUACUUGGCAGGUGUGUGAGAUGGGAUAAAGAAGGUUCAGCUUGGAAAGGUGAUUGGACUAGUUUUGUCUUGAUAUUCUCUGAUCUUUUUUUUUCUUUUUUUAAAUAUAUUUUAUUGAUUUUUUACAGAGAGGAAGGGAGAGAGAUAGAGAGUCAGAAACAUCGAUG